Molecule: unclassified non-coding RNA, 331 nt
Filed under: soil metagenome
Description: partial contains 5.8S ribosomal RNA, internal transcribed spacer 2, and large subunit ribosomal RNA
Rfam family: 5.8S ribosomal RNA (bases 1-120)
Source: RNAcentral
GAUGAAGAACGUAGCGAAAUGCGAUAAGUAAUGUGAAUUGCAGAAUUCAGUGAAUCAUCGAAUCUUUGAACGCACAUUGCGCCCGCCAGUAUUCUGGCGGGCAUGCCUGUUCGAGCGUCAUUUCAACCAUCAAGCCCCAGGCUUGUGUUGGAGCCCUGCGGCUGCCGCAGCCUCCCAAAACCAGUGGCGGGCUCGCUAUCACACCGAGUGCAGUAGUUUACUCUUCGCUCAGGGCGUGUGGCGGGUGCUAGCCGUAAAACCCCCAACUUCUCAAGGUUGACCUCGGAUCAGGUAGGAAUACCCGCUGAACUUAAGCAUAUCAAGCGGAGGA